UUCCCCUAGUAACGGCGAGUGAAGCGGGAAGAGCUCAAGCUUAAAAUCUCUGUGCUAGAAAUGCAUGGCGAAUUGUAGUCUAUUGAGGCUGUUGUCAGCACAGCGACCUGGGACAAGUCUCUUGGAAGAGAGCAGCAUAGAGGGUGAUACUCCCGUCUCUGCUCAGGUCUGCUUGUGUGUACGAUACGCUUUGUUUGAGUCGAGUUGCUUGGGAAUGCAGCUCAAAGUAGGUGGUAAAUUCCAUCUAAAGCUAAAUAUAGGUGCUAGACCGAUAGCGAACAAGUACCGUGAGGGAAAGAUGAAAAGAACUUUGAAAAGAGAGUUAAAGAGUACCUGAAACUGUUGAAAGGGAAUCGUAUCGUUUCCAGUGUCUUAUCCUUUGCAUAUUUCAUUGGCGGAUGUGGGUGUGUAGUGUGCUUGUACUAGCAGUUCAUUCUGCAGUCUGCGUUCUACGCUGCUUAUAUUUGCUGGUGCCCUGUGCAUUGGUGUGACGUCAGAGUCAGUUUGUACGCUGCGGGAGAUGGUUGUCGAGGAGGUAUUUUGAACACAUUUGUGUUUGGAUGUUAUAUCUUGGCAUACUAGUAGUCGUGGCGGAGACUGAGGUGCCUACAACAUGCCUUGGGAGUCAUGUGGGGUCUGCUUUGAAUAAUUGUUUGGAUAGCUUGCUAUGCUUGUGAUUUAUUUGGGCGAUUGAUUC
This 697-nucleotide ribosomal RNA is filed under the name Apodachlya brachynema. Its description in RNAcentral is "LSU rRNA". It matches the Rfam family "Eukaryotic large subunit ribosomal RNA", at positions 75 to 664 of the family's 3401-position model. Lineage: Eukaryota; Oomycota; Saprolegniomycetes; Leptomitales; Leptomitaceae. The record is from RNAcentral.